Molecule: ribosomal RNA, 612 nt
Filed under: Trichoderma sp.
Lineage: Eukaryota; Fungi; Ascomycota; Sordariomycetes; Hypocreales; Hypocreaceae
Description: eukaryotic LSU rRNA
Rfam family: 5.8S ribosomal RNA (bases 232-385)
Source: RNAcentral
AAAGUCCGUAACAAGGUCUCCGUUGGUGAACCAGCGGAGGGAUCAUUACCGAGUUUACAACUCCCAAACCCAAUGUGAACGUUACCAAACUGUUGCCUCGGCGGGGUCACGCCCCGGGUGCGUCGCAGCCCCGGAACCAGGCGCCCGCCGGAGGAACCAACCAAACUCUUUCUGUAGUCCCCUCGCGGACGUAUUUCUUACAGCUCUGAGCAAAAAUUCAAAAUGAAUCAAAACUUUCAACAACGGAUCUCUUGGUUCUGGCAUCGAUGAAGAACGCAGCGAAAUGCGAUAAGUAAUGUGAAUUGCANAAUUCAGUGAAUCAUCGAAUCUUUGAACGCACAUUGCGCCCGCCAGUAUUCUGGCGGGCAUGCCUGUCCGAGCGUCAUUUCAACCCUCGAACCCCUCCGGGGGAUCGGCGUUGGGGAUCGGGACCCCUCACACGGGUGCCGGCCCCUAAAUACAGUGGCGGUCUCGCCGCAGCCUCUCCUGCGCAGUAGUUUGCACAACUCGCACCGGGAGCGCGGCGCGUCCACGUCCGUAAAACACCCAACUUUCUGAAAUGUUGACCUCGGAUCAGGUAGGAAUACCCGCUGAACUUAAGCAUAUCAAUAA